RNAcentral lists this ribosomal RNA (411 nucleotides) under uncultured eukaryote. RNAcentral describes it as "bacterial SSU rRNA". It matches the Rfam family "Eukaryotic small subunit ribosomal RNA", at positions 592 to 1012 of the family's 1831-position model. The record is from RNAcentral.
CAAUAGCGUAUCUUAAUGUUGUUGCAGUUAAAAGCUCGUAGUCGAAUAUCUGGCCGGGAAAACCGAACUUCGUUUGGAGCUUUCCUAGGCCAUCCGCCUGAAAAAUUAGUGAUCGUUAAUAGCCUUUGCUUAUGGAUCAGGCACUUUACUUUGAAGAAAUUAGAGUGUUUCAGGCAGGCUAUCGCUUGAAUACACCAGCAUGGAAUAAUGGAAUAGGACUUUCAUCAGUUACUGGUUAAUGAUGUUUGUAAUGAUUAAUAGGGACAGUUGGGGGCGAUUCGUACUUGACAGUCAGAGGUGAAAUUCUUCGAUUUGUCAAAGACGAACUAAUGCGAAGGCACUCUCGACCGAAGGAUUGUUUUCUAUUGAUACAAAGAAACGAAAGACGAGGGGAUACAAAGACGUAUUAGA